GACGAACGCUGGCGGCGUGCUUAACACAUGCAAGUCGAACGGAAAGGCCUGCUUUCCCUUGUGGAUUGCGGGUGCUCGAGUGGCGAACGGGUGAGUAACACGUGAGUGAUCUGCCCCCAACUUGGGUAUAAGCCUGGGAAACUGGGUCUAAUUCCCGAUAGGACUGCAGGGUGGUGCCUGUGGUGGAAAACGAUUUUCUAGUGGUUGGGGAUGAGCUCGCGGCCUAUCAGCUUGUUGGUGGGGUAAUGGCCUACCAAGGCGGCGACGGGUAGCCGGCCUGAGAGGGUGGACGGCCGCAUUGGGACUGGGAUACGGCCCAGACUCCUGCGGGAGGCAGCAGUGGGGAAUAUUACGCAAUGGGCGGAAGCCUGAUGCAGCGACGCCGCGUGGGGGAUGACGGCCUUCGGGUUGUAAACUCCUUUCGACCGCGAGGAAGCCACCUGGUUGGAAGGGUGGUGACGGUAGUGGUAGAAGAAGCACCGGCUAACUACGUG
This 494-nucleotide ribosomal RNA is filed under the name uncultured bacterium. Its description in RNAcentral is "partial 16S ribosomal RNA". It matches the Rfam family "Bacterial small subunit ribosomal RNA", at positions 28 to 507 of the family's 1533-position model. The record is from RNAcentral.